AGCGGCGGACGGGUGAGUAAUGCCUAGGAAUCUGCCUGGUAGUGGGGGAUAACGUUUCGAAAGGAACGCUAAUACCGCAUACGUCCUACGGGAGAAAGUGGGGGAUCUUCGGACCUCACGCUAUCAGAUGAGCCUAGGUCGGAUUAGCUAGUUGGUGGGGUAAUGGCCCACCAAGGCGACGAUCCGUAACUGGUCUGAGAGGAUGAUCAGUCACACUGGAACUGAGACACGGUCCAGACUCCUACGGGAGGCAGCAGUGGGGAAUAUUGGACAAUGGGCGAAAGCCUGAUCCAGCCAUGCCGCGUGUGUGAAGAAGGUCUUCGGAUUGUAAAGCACUUUAAGUUGGGAGGAAGGGCAGUAAGUUAAUACCUUGCUGUUUUGACGUUACCAACAGAAUAAGCACCGGCUAACUUCGUGCCAGCAGCCGCGGUAAUACGAAGG
RNAcentral lists this ribosomal RNA (441 nucleotides) under uncultured bacterium. RNAcentral's name for it is "bacterial SSU rRNA". It matches the Rfam family "Bacterial small subunit ribosomal RNA", at positions 94 to 531 of the family's 1533-position model. The record is from RNAcentral.